CUUUCCCUCUGGCGGUAGGCCUAACACAUGCAAGUCGAACGGCAGCACAGUAAGAGCUUGCUCUUCCGGGGGGCGAGUGGCGGACGGGUGAGGAAUACAUCGUAACCUACUUUUUCGGGUGGGAUCACGUAGGGAAACUUACGCUAAUACCGCAUACGACCUACGGGUGAAAGCAUGGGAUCUUCGGACCUUGCGCGAUUGAAUUAGCCGAUGUCGGACUAGCUAGUUGGCGGGGUAAAGGCCCACCAAGGCGACGAUCCGUAGCUGGUCUGAGAGGAUGAUCAGCCACACUGGAACUGAGACACGGUCCAGACUCCUACGGUAGGCAGCAGUGGGGAAUAUUGGACAAUGGGCGCAAGCCUGAUCCAGCCAGAGCGCGUGGGUGAAGAAGGCCUUGGGGUUGUAAAGACCUUUUGUUGGGAAAGAAAAGCAGCAGGUUAAGACCCCGCGGUUCUGACGGUACCCAAAGAAUAAGCACCGGCUAACUUCGUG
Molecule: ribosomal RNA, 492 nt
Filed under: uncultured bacterium
Lineage: Bacteria
Description: partial 16S ribosomal RNA
Rfam family: Bacterial small subunit ribosomal RNA
Source: RNAcentral